GCUUGUCUCAAGAUUAAGCCAUGCAUGUCUAAGUAUAAAUGUUAUACAGUGAAACUGCGAAUGGCUCAUUAAAACAGUUAUAGUUUAUUUGAUAAUCGAAUUUACAUGGAUAACCGUGGUAAUUCUAGAGCUAAUACAUGCUGGUUAGCCUGACUUUUAGGAAGGGCUGUAUUUAUUAGAUAACAAACCAAUAUUCCUCGUGUCUAUUGCGAUGAUUCAUAAUAACUGAUCGAAUCUCAAAUUUGAGAUAAAUCAUUCAAGUUUCUGCCCUAUCAGCUUUCGAUGGUAGUGUAUUGGACUACCAUGGCAGUAACGGGUAACGGAGAAUUAGGGUUCGAUUCCGGAGAGGGAGCCUGAGAAAUGGCUACCACAUCCAAGGAAGGCAGCAGG
This 390-nucleotide ribosomal RNA is filed under the name uncultured Orthoamphisiella. RNAcentral's name for it is "partial small subunit ribosomal RNA". It matches the Rfam family "Eukaryotic small subunit ribosomal RNA", at positions 30 to 432 of the family's 1831-position model. The record is from RNAcentral. Lineage: Eukaryota; Ciliophora; Spirotrichea; Stichotrichida; Amphisiellidae.